Long non-coding RNA from Felis catus (domestic cat), 1751 nucleotides. RefSeq lists it as uncharacterized. The record is from RefSeq and is a predicted model, not a curated record. The transcript is spliced from 2 exons. NCBI's taxonomy places the organism in Eukaryota, Metazoa, Chordata, Mammalia, Carnivora, Felidae.
GAAGGCCUGCAGACCGGGCCAAGGGCGGCACCCGUGACGUCCAGACCACGGCCGAUCCCGCCCCGCGCGAGACUCCCUCCCCUCAUCACGGCCCGACGGGGCGGGCGCAGAGGGGAGGCACGUAGUGGAGGGGCCCUUCCGGGGUGACCACGCUGGACUGGAUCCGCGCGCUCUCCCGGGAGCGCGCGCUCCGCCGGUGGCUCGUGGGUCUCGUGGGGCACGUGGACAGCAAGGCGCAACGUGCGGUGAGAAGGCUUCUCCCUUCCCACCGAGGAGCGAGGCUCAGUUCUGAGCCAGAGCACCUUUGAGCCCUUCCUCGGACGUGCUGAUCCCCCGUGUUAACAAGGAGCGUGAGUGGGCGCGGGCUCGGCCCACGGCCCUUCGGCCGAGAGCACCGUAAACCCUCUCUUUGUUGUUGUCAUUCCACUGCGCCGUUCCUCUCUUUACGAGGUCACCUACUUUUCACGGGAAAUGAAAUUGGUUUCCAGUGGUAACGAUCAUUAGGUCUCUCUCUCCAGUGCGUUUAUGUACAGACACAAAAGCCAGUGAGAGCUGAUCCAAAGGAAAAUUUCCGGUAAGCGCCAGUGAAGGCGGUUUGUCAAGAAGACGUUUGGAGGACGCGCGACUCAUUAUCCUGGGGAUCCGGAAGCUCCCGCUUCCUAGCACUCUAGAGUGUUCCUAACACUCUAGAACGUGUCUUUGUCCACCGCCUCGUUCCCGCCUCAGCCCCGCUUCCUGAGCCAACAGAGGAACCCUUGCCCCGUCCCAGUUGCCCUCUUGCCCCUCCUGUCCCCAUCUGUCCCCGCUUGGUGUGCUCGGGGGAUCCCAGUCUAGGCAACUGAACACGUCACUGGGGGCCCCGGGGAGCCACCUCCGCCUGUUGCUCUGGGCCUCCCUGCCUGCCCGCGGGGCCCAAGGGAGUCACUGGGGCCCCCGGUUGGCCAGCGCUGUCAGCCCUGGUGUGCCCUGCCCAGGCAACUAUAUGGCUAGCCCAAUCAGCCUAGACAGGACACAGGAUAACUCAGGUCCCAAAAUGGACUCUGGGAGUUGUUCAAGAUGAAAAAUCUCAAGUGGACAGAAUUGGUUGAAUCAUAAUCUCUGAUUUACAACACACUGUCAUCUUUGGUCCAUGAGUAGCCUCUAUAUUUUACUUAUUUACUUACUUAUUAAUAUAAUGAACACUGAUGAACCUACCACCAAACUAUUUUCUGUUUGACCCAAAGUUUAAGAAUGACUUUUACACUUUUAAGGAUUGUUGUUGCUAUUGUUUUUUUAAUUUCUAUUUUUGCCAUAUCUAGCACUUUCAUUAUCUGUAAAAUAGACUUAAUACUAGUACUUAUCUCUUAGGGUUAUUGUGAGAAUCAAAUGAAUGAAUCUUUGUAAAAUGCUUACAACAGGGUCUGGUACAUAGUGGGUGCUAUUUAAAUGUUAUUAUUUCUAUUAUUAGGUUAAAUAAAAUUAAUUAUAUAUACAUAUAUUUUAGAUCUCUCAUUGUUUUGUUCUUUCUAUGUGAUUUGUCAAGAACUAAUAGAAGUGUGGUAAAAUCUCCCUGUACUGUUACACUGUUGCCACUUUUUUCUUGUCUUUUUAUUCUAAUGGUUUUUGUUUGAUAUAAGUGCUGUGCAAUCCCAAGCAAAAAUAUAUUUAUAAUAGUUUUUUUUUUUAAUUAUAGCUUGGAUCUGCUUGGUUUUAUCUCAAGCUUCUUAUGUUGAGUUAAACCUUGUUUAAUGUUAACAAACAAAAACACUCUA